This 235-nucleotide unclassified non-coding RNA is filed under the name Hevea brasiliensis (rubber tree). The record is from RNAcentral. Lineage: Eukaryota; Viridiplantae; Streptophyta; Magnoliopsida; Malpighiales; Euphorbiaceae.
UGAUCAUUGAAUCAUUUCUCGCAGAUAUUUGAAUAUUGAAAUAGAGAUUUUUUUUUUGAGCGAGAACGGGAGAAGAAUUCUCUGCCAUUUUUUUGUAGGAGAGGAAUUGGUGAAUAUUGAUUUGAGAUUUUAGAGGAUUUUGGUUGUUUGUUUGCAAAGAAAAUGAGCAUAAGGGUACGAGAGGAAAGGAUGAGCAUGGGAUGGUCAUCAAUGAGCGGAGACGAGCUAAUGUUUG